Zerene cesonia (dogface butterfly) is the source of this 416-nucleotide long non-coding RNA. RefSeq lists it as uncharacterized. The record is from RefSeq and is a predicted model, not a curated record. The transcript is spliced from 2 exons. Lineage: Eukaryota; Metazoa; Arthropoda; Insecta; Lepidoptera; Pieridae.
UGAAUUGGUUUCAAUUAUAGUGGAUGAAGUAGACGGCGGUGAUGACGACGAAGACUUCAACCGUUUGCGCAGUGUGCGGGAACAACAUCGCAGGGACAAGUACUUGCAGCGGCUGAUGGCGAGAUCCGUUAGCGCGCAACCGCAAACGGGAAGUGGCGAACUCUUAGACACAGAUGUGUUAUUAGAAGAACUUAUGAAAAUGCAAGCAAAACUCACCCAAGAAGAAAACACUAACAAGGAAAAAAUAUCCAGUGACGCCACUUGACACAGUUUUAUAUUCUCUUGGGAUUAACGUAUCUCUCGAGAUCAUUCCAGUAUUAACGAUUGUGAUAAUUUACACUAUUUAUUAAGUACAGCUUUUGAAAUCAUGUUAAUGUCUAUAAUAUGAAUAAGAAUAAAGUGCAAAUUGAAAUUUA